Molecule: non-coding RNA, 332 nt
Organism: Pelobates cultripes (western spadefoot toad)
Lineage: Eukaryota; Metazoa; Chordata; Amphibia; Anura; Pelobatidae
Source: the annotation of a GenBank genome assembly
GAAUCAGUGGGAGUGAAGUGGAGCUGAGGUAUGAAGGCCCAGCAUAACUCUGCAGGACUGUGGCAGUCUAGGGGUUAAGCAAUGCUGCAGUUCUAUGAUUGCUUAUAAGCAACACCGUGCAUGCAGUGUUACAGCAGAAGAGUGAUGAAUUGGUGUGAUACAGUACUGCACUCUGGAAAGGAAUGGGUUAGGCCACACUGUGCAAAGCUGGCCUGUGAAAUCAGAAAAUGCUAUGCAUGGGCCAGGCAGACAAAGGAUCAAGAAAUAUUUCAAAGUAAACGGUUAUGAAAUAAUGAUCAGCAGAGGAAGGAAACAGACAGACGGGAAUACAC